AAAACCCAGUAGCUAAGAUUUCUCCUCCUUUCUCGAAGAAGCAGCAGCUGGAGCAGUCGACACCCAACUCUUAUUAUAUCAAUGACUGAGUCACAGUCCGCUACCAUGACUUACCAAGAACGCGUAUCAGAUGGGCUGCAGGACACAGGAUACGGGCCGCUCUCUUUCACUGGGCUCCGUGCAUCAACUGAGAGCAGAGGGAAGGUGCCCAUUACAUGAAAAUGCAUUUAACAUGCAGGAGGCGUCUGUUACCUGUCCAUCAGGUUUGCAGCAUAAAGCCAACAUGAAAUGAAACUUUGAAUGGCACGCAAAGGAUUGUAAGUGUUUCCACAGGCAAAACUAUGAAUCCAGAUGGCGUGCUGGAUCAACCCGAGCCGAUGAAAAAUAACCGUGGAGGGCCGAAAAGGCUGGAAAAAAAGAAUGUAUGAAGGUGGUGAUAGAAUAAGAAUUUCACACCUACAGUACCUACCACACAUGGCUUUCACACAUCGGAUGGGGCUUGGAGAGAAAGCCCAGAUGAACACAAAUGUAAAUUGUACAUGACAUUAGCUAAUGUUAUUGUCUUAUGCUUUUCACUGUAAUAUCUGUAUCUUCCUGUUUCAUAAUAAACAUUCAACUAUGCAUCCAAACAAAGAA
Cyprinus carpio (common carp) is the source of this 636-nucleotide long non-coding RNA. RefSeq lists it as uncharacterized. NCBI's taxonomy places the organism in Eukaryota, Metazoa, Chordata, Actinopteri, Cypriniformes, Cyprinidae. The record is from RefSeq and is a predicted model, not a curated record.